This 499-nucleotide ribosomal RNA is filed under the name uncultured bacterium. RNAcentral describes it as "partial 16S ribosomal RNA". It matches the Rfam family "Bacterial small subunit ribosomal RNA", at positions 29 to 523 of the family's 1533-position model. The record is from RNAcentral.
AUUGAACGCUGGCGGAAUGCUUUACACAUGCAAGUCGAGCGGCAGCGCGGGGCAACCUGGCGGCGAGCGGCGAACGGGUGAGUAAUGCAUCGGAACAUGUCCAUGUCGUGGGGGAUAGCCCGGCGAAAGCCGGAUUAAUACCGCAUAAUCCCGAGAGGGGAAAGUGGGGGACCGCAAGGCCUCACGCGAUUGGGUUGGCCGAUGUCCGAUUAGCUAGUUGGCGGGGUAAGAGCCCACCAAGGCGAUGAUCGGUAGCUGGUCUGAGAGGAUGAUCAGCCACACUGGGACUGAGACACGGCCCAGACUCCUACGGGAGGCAGCAGUGGGGAAUUUUGGACAAUGGGGGCAACCCUGAUCCAGCCAUUCCGCGUGAGUGAAGAAGGCCUUCGGGUUGUAAAGCUCUUUUGUCCGGAACGAAACGGUUACGGUGAAUACCCGUGACUACUGACGGUACCGGAAGAAUAAGCACCGGCUAACUACGUGCCAGCAGCCGCCGUAA